Small nucleolar RNA from Hibiscus syriacus, 107 nucleotides. The record is from RefSeq and is a predicted model, not a curated record. NCBI's taxonomy places the organism in Eukaryota, Viridiplantae, Streptophyta, Magnoliopsida, Malvales, Malvaceae.
AAAUCGUGUAUUGGACACUUUUGCAGCAACUUCUUAAAACACUCCCAAGCUUCAUACAAAUUCUCUUCUUCAAGUUGCUUGAAGGAGGUCAUGUCAUUACUCAGUUU